AUCUUGAGAGCGGCGUACGGGUGCGGAACACGUGUGCAACCUACCUUUAUCAGGGGGAUAGCCUUUCGAAAGGAAGAUUAAUACCCCAUAAUAUAUUGAAUGGCAUCAUUUAAUAUUGAAAACUCCGGUGGAUAGAGAUGGGCACGCGCAAGAUUAGAUAGUUGGUAGGGUAACGGCCUACCAAGUCAGUGAUCUUUAGGGGGCCUGAGAGGGUGAUCCCCCACACUGGUACUGAGACACGGACCAGACUCCUACGGGAGGCAGCAGUGAGGAAUAUUGGACAAUGGGUGAGAGCCUGAUCCAGCCAUCCCGCGUGAAGGACGACGGCCCUAUGGGUUGUAAACUUCUUUUGUAUAGGGAUAAACCUACUCUCGUGAGAGUAGCUGAAGGUACUAUACGAAUAAGCACCGGCUAACUCCGUGCCAGCAGCCGCGGUAAUACGGAGGGUGCAAGCGUUAUCCGGAUUUAUUGGGUUUAAAGGGUCCGUAGGCGGAUCUGUAAGUCAGUGGUGAAAUCUCAUAGCUUAACUAUGAAACUGCCAUUGAUACUGCAGGUCUUGAGUAAAGUAGAAGUGGCUGGAAUAAGUAGUGUAGCGGUGAAAUGCAUAGAUAUUACUUAGAACACCAAUUGCGAAGGCAGGUCACUAUGUUUUAACUGACGCUGAUGGACGAA
This 672-nucleotide ribosomal RNA is filed under the name Chryseobacterium balustinum. Its description in RNAcentral is "bacterial SSU rRNA". It matches the Rfam family "Bacterial small subunit ribosomal RNA", at positions 86 to 757 of the family's 1533-position model. Lineage: Bacteria; Pseudomonadati; Bacteroidota; Flavobacteriia; Flavobacteriales; Weeksellaceae. The record is from RNAcentral.